Long non-coding RNA from Pseudophryne corroboree (corroboree frog), 1351 nucleotides. RefSeq lists it as uncharacterized. The record is from RefSeq and is a predicted model, not a curated record. The transcript is spliced from 3 exons. NCBI's taxonomy places the organism in Eukaryota, Metazoa, Chordata, Amphibia, Anura, Myobatrachidae.
GGCCGCUAUCCUGUCACUCAGCCCAUUCGCCAAAACGCCGCUCAGAUGGAAAGGGGGCGGGGCUAUCCGGCGCUUUAAACGGUUCUGUUUGUAAAUGCCCACCUACUCCGGGUGGGGGAAAGCUUUGGGAGCUGGGGAUUGGCCGAGCAGCUAGGCAGCAAGAGCUUGUUUAUGGUAUGGAGGGAGCUGAUUGGCUGUCUGCCGAGUCAUUUAUGCCGAUCAGCCGCUGUAUGUUGCUCUCGCUGAAAUUCAGUGCAUUGUAUCUCCACCAGGUGCUGUGGGAACAUCGUAGUAGAAGAUCAGAGGGGAUGAAGAAAUUGCUAGACAAAUCACUGGGACAGUGAAGGAUGCAGUAAUCUACAAAAACAUGAAACAAUUCAGUUCCUGACCAUGGAUGAAAUAACCAUAAUCCAAGACUGAUGGUUUUUCGGAAUACAUAUGUUUUACUGGCAGCCACCAGUAUGCCGGCUGCUAGAAAGCCCCUAGCAGGCUUGCUGCGCUCGCCACAGGUUAUAUUCUCCCUCUAUGGGUGCCGUGCAGGGGAGGUCACCUUACAAUCCCUACUGCCAGGUUCUACUCAUCAUAGCUUCUAUGUGGAGUACAGUUCCUCCAUUCCAAGGGCAUAAUCCAUCGUGACCUCAAGCCUGAGAACAUCCUGGUGGUUGGAACGGGUUUUAUUAAGAUAGCCAACUUUGGUCUUGCACUAGAGAAAAUCCAGAGGGCAACUGGCUUCAUUGGAACACGUGGUUACAUUGCUCCUGAGGUGCGUGCUGGCAGGGAGUACAGUGCCAGUGCUGACUGGUUUUCAUUUGGUGUCAUAAUGACCCAAAUGAUCACCGGAAGUCUUGUUUACCAUCCUACAAGACUUGGAGUCAAUGGUAACAUACAACUCCAUCAUUUCUUCCAGCCGGUCGACUGGGUCGCAGUGGAAGCCCUUGAGACUGUGCCCCCAUACAGAUGCGGACCACCAUCCUUACCACACUCUGACUUCAUUCUAAGCCACCUAGAGAGAAUGGAGGCAGCAGAGGCCCGUAAGCAACCAAUAACAGCUAAGGAGCAAGGACGAUUUAGAGGGUUCUCAUUUUUUCAGCUCAGCCUGGAGAACCCUCCCCAAGACACCCAACCUAUAAGAACACCAGCUGAGGCCACAGCAAUGCUGGUUACUCGAAUAGAAGACUCUGUAUCAAAUGGGAGAUGUGAAUGAAGAUGAUGUGCCCAGCAAAAAAUAUGCAUUAACUUACUAUAAAUAUAAAAUAAGAAAGAGUAGCUCAGAAAACUACUUUCAAUGUUUAUUUUGAAGGUUACUUUGAAUGUUUUUGUUUUGUUAGGUUGGGGUUAGUUUAGAUGGUCA